Molecule: ribosomal RNA, 347 nt
Filed under: uncultured bacterium
Lineage: Bacteria
Description: partial 16S ribosomal RNA
Rfam family: Bacterial small subunit ribosomal RNA
Source: RNAcentral
CCUACGGGAGGCAGCAGUGGGGAAUAUUGGACAAUGGAGGGAACCCUGAUCCAGCGACGCCGCGUGAGUGAAGAAGUAUUUCUGUAUGUAAAGCUCUGUCAGCAGGGAAGAAAGAAAUGACGGUACCUGACCAAGAAGCCCCGGCUAACUACGUGCAAGCAGCCGCGGUAAUCCGUAGGGGGCAAGCGUUAUCCGGAAUUACUGGGUGUAAGGGGAGCGUAGACGGUUAAGUAAGUUUGGAGUGAAAGGCCGGGGCCCAACCCCGGGACUGCUCUGGAAACUAUUCAACUUGAGAGCAGGAGAGGUAAGCGGAAUGCAUGGUGUAGCGGUGAAAUGCGUAGAGAUUA